This is a long non-coding RNA of Cucumis melo (muskmelon), 774 nucleotides long. RefSeq lists it as uncharacterized. NCBI's taxonomy places the organism in Eukaryota, Viridiplantae, Streptophyta, Magnoliopsida, Cucurbitales, Cucurbitaceae. The record is from RefSeq and is a predicted model, not a curated record. The transcript is spliced from 2 exons.
UUUAAAAGUUAAAAAAGAUAAAAAUAAAGAUAAAAGAUUCUCUAUCGUUCACUCACAUUCCUUCCUCACCUUUCCUCUUCAUCUUCGUCAUCUUCGUCGAGGUUGAGAAAUUCCUUAAAAAUGGCGUAACAAACACUUCUCCAUCUCUCCGCCCCUAAAAAAUCUACUUCCACUAUGAAUUCUAUUUUCUCCUCCAUUGAAUUCCGUCUUCUACCAUCACCAAAUCCACCACAACCACAACAUAAUCUCCACAUCUUCCACCAAAUUCAUCUUUCUCCUCAAACGACCUACCGUUUCAAUUCAAUAAAGACCAAUUCAAUUCUUCCAACUAAUUCUCUAAUUCUUGGAAACAGCACUAUUCCUCCGGCACAAUCCGGCGACAUUUCUGUCCUACUCCAGACAAGCGGCGUACUUCUGAUUGCGUAUUUGAUAGCGAAUUUCAUUUUCCCGGAGUUUAUUAUGAAGUCAUACCGAUCUGAUGAUGAGAGCGAGGGGAAGGGUGGGGGUGGAAGAUGAAGAAUCAAGCGGAGGGAGGAAGAAGCUUCAUUUUAUAUUUGUGUGUAAGAAAAUUGGGAUAAUAUUAUUGGGUUCACUGAUUUUAUUUUCCCAUUUUGAUUGAAAAGGGUAGUUCUUGUAGUUUAUUUUUGAAAAAUUUCAGACAUAUUUGUGGAAAGUAGAAGAUGAAGAUGAAAGGUGGGUAGAGGAAGAGAGAAAGGAUAAGAAAUGAGUUCCCAUGAGAAAAAAAAUUGUUAACUAAACUCUUCUUAAAAUGUC